ACAAUGGUGGCUAAAACUUCUGGAUCAUGUUUCCAAGGUUUUUAAUGAUCAUGAAUAUCUAAUGAUCAGAAAGCAAUUUAUUAAGCCUUGCAGAGCAUUUUCUUGUCAGUCUUUUACCAUUACGUGUACGUUUAUGUGGCCUCGGGAGGAGUUAACUUAAGUUUAUAUUGGUUUAGAUUUAGACAUAGGAACGUUAACUAUUUUUAAAAGGAAGCACCACUACCCUGAAUCCCGAUGUAAAUAUGAAAUAAUUUUUUAUAUUUUUGCCACUUCGUAAGAUAAAUAUACGCACAUUUUAUAUUCCUACUUUUUUAUACGUUUUAUUAUAAGCGGUUUAACAAUGAUUUAUAGUUUGUUCAACAUCAACCAUUCAGGGUUGAGCGUAAUUAUCAAUCACGUGACAUGAUUCAUACUAACACCAAACUGUGCACUAAACACAUACAAAAUGAAAAUGACAUGAAAAUCGUGACGUUAACAAUUGGCAUCAAAAUUUUACACAAAGUUUAGAUGUCAGAUAUUACCAUUGGUCAUAGGAUCUCUUUCUUGUAUUUCAAGGAUGUAUGUUGGGAAAAAAAUUGAAGAAGUGUUAGGAUGCUCUGUGAUUAUUUCCUUGAAACUCAAGAUAAGGUCAAUACACUUGAAGACAUUCCUCCUCCUGUAAUUGCAACAGGAUUUAGUUAUUAUCUCACCAGUAUAUACAUUAUCUCGUUUUUGUUGCUGUUGAGGAAAAUGAAGUGUGACUUGGCCAUGUGGACCAUGUGGAGUUGCUGACUCAAACAAGAAGAUCACGUUCUUAAAUGUGCAUGUCUCUGAAAUGUAUUUUAGCUUUAAGUUUGAAAACAUUUACACUGCACAACCAAGCUUUCAGUCUGGCUCAAUUCCUGAGCAAGUUUCUAUUCAUCCCAGAUUAUAAUCACUGACGUGCUACAGGCAAUAAGAUUAAAUGAAAAAACGAUUUUACUUUUGUGCUUUUUUUUAGUGUUACUUGGCUAUGUGGACCUUAUGAAGCUACUGGUUCACACAUGACACACAAGAAGACACUGUUGUUUAAUGUGUAUGUUACUGAAAUCUUUUUUUAAAUACAUACGCAUAUA
This is a long non-coding RNA of Xenia sp. Carnegie-2017, 1094 nucleotides long. RefSeq lists it as uncharacterized. NCBI's taxonomy places the organism in Eukaryota, Metazoa, Cnidaria, Anthozoa, Malacalcyonacea, Xeniidae. The record is from RefSeq and is a predicted model, not a curated record. The transcript has 3 exons.